AUUGAACGCUGGCGGCAGGCCUAACACAUGCAAGUCGAGCGAGCGGCGGACGGGUGAGUACUGUAUGGGGACUGCCCGAUAGAGGGGGAUAACUACUGGCAAAGGUAGCUAAUACCGCAUACUAUCGGAAAACCCAUAUGGGAUUAGCUAGUUGGUGAGGUAAUGGCUCACCAAGGCGACUAUCCAUAGCUGGUCUGAGAGGAGGAUCAGCCACACUGGGACUGAGACACGGCCCAGAAUCCUCGGGAGGCAGCAGUGGGGAAUAUUGCACAAUGGGCGCAAGCCUGAUGCAGCCAUGCCGCGUGUAUGAAGAAGGCCCUAGGGUUGUAAAGUACUUGCAGCGGGGAGGCGUUACCCGCAGAAGAAGCACCGGCUAACGCCGUGCCAGCAGCCGCGGUAAUUC
Molecule: ribosomal RNA, 403 nt
Filed under: uncultured bacterium
Lineage: Bacteria
Description: partial 16S ribosomal RNA
Rfam family: Bacterial small subunit ribosomal RNA
Source: RNAcentral